GACCCAGUGGUGCAAUGGUCAGCACACCUGCACAAUUUAAUCAUUGCAGGUAAAUCGUUCUGCAGGAGUUCCCUGUUCAACUCGGGGCUGGGUCA
Mycena rebaudengoi is the source of this 95-nucleotide non-coding RNA. NCBI's taxonomy places the organism in Eukaryota, Fungi, Basidiomycota, Agaricomycetes, Agaricales, Mycenaceae. The record is from the annotation of a GenBank genome assembly.